RNAcentral lists this ribosomal RNA (689 nucleotides) under uncultured bacterium. RNAcentral's name for it is "bacterial SSU rRNA". It matches the Rfam family "Bacterial small subunit ribosomal RNA", at positions 63 to 751 of the family's 1533-position model. The record is from RNAcentral.
CGAGGGGUAGUGGAAGCUUGCUUCCAUGAGACCGGCGCACGGGUGCGUAACGCGUAUGCAAUCUGCCUCUCACUGGGGAAUAGCCCGGAGAAAUCCGGAUUAAUGCCCCAUGGUAUUUCGGGACGGCAUCGUCCUGUUAUUAAAGAUUUAUCGGUGAGAGAUGAGCAUGCGUCCCAUUAGUUAGUUGGUAAGGUAACGGCUUACCAAGACGAUGAUGGGUAGGGGUCCUGAGAGGGAGAUCCCCCACACUGGUACUGAGACACGGACCAGACUCCUACGGGAGGCAGCAGUGAGGAAUAUUGGUCAAUGGGCGCAAGCCUGAACCAGCCAUGCCGCGUGCAGGACGACGGCCCUAUGGGUUGUAAACUGCUUUUGUACGGGAAGAAACACUCCAACGUGUUGGAGCUUGACGGUACCGUAAGAAUAAGGAUCGGCUAACUCUGUGCCAGCAGCCGCGGUAAUACAGAGGGUGCAAGCGUUAAUCGGAAUUACUGGGCGUAAAGCGCGCGUAGGUGGUUUGUUAAGUUGGAUGUGAAAUCCCCGGGCUCAACCUGGGAACUGCAUCCAAAACUGGCAAGCUAGAGUAUGGUAGAGGGUGGUGGAAUUUCCUGUGUAGCGGUGAAAUGCGUAGAUAUAGGAAGGAACACCAGUGGCGAAGGCGACCACCUGGACUGAUACUGACACUGAGG